CUCGUCUCUAAAUCCUCUCCUUGAGAAUUUAGACUAUAAACACUAACACUAUGUUUGGUUAAAUGGAAUUGCUAUUCCAUUACGACAUGGUUCAAAAAUUUAAAGGAAAACAGCCGUUUGGUUGGCUGAAUGCUCAAAACGUCGAAUGGAGAUUACAGGUUCAUUCUAAAAAUCGCCGAAUAGCCAUUCCGGGGAGGAGGUGCCGAAUGGCUAUUCCAACCUCUCCAUCGAAUGGACCUUUUUUUCUCCUCCAAAAAUACCCUUUCUUAGAUUAAAUUUUCUCUAACGGUUUCAACUUUUGUUUUCUUUUGGUCAUUCGACAAUCUCAAGCUCAAAUCAAUAUAAAAGGAAGCGAAUCAACUUGAAGGCCAAAUCAACUGGAUUUUGUUGUAAGUUCAAUUCAACUAGGGUUUGUUUUGCAUUUUGAUUGAUUUUUUUUUGUUUCUGAUGAUUUGUCCAAGGGGAAUUGAAAUGGAUUCUGCAACUGUUCACGAGGAGAUCGAUUCAUUAUUCGAGUCAACUCCUCCUCUCAAAGAUUCGGCUAAAAUCAUAGACAAAUUGAAUCAAGUCAUCCAAUUUGAUUCUCCUUCAGGAGAAGGAAAAGGGAGAAGGGUAGAAGAGCUGCUAAAACGAUGCCCAAAUCUUAAGAAAAUUAUUAUUUUUAGGGUUAUUUCAAAAGCCAAGCCACACAAGGAAUGCCAGGUGUAUUCAUCUGGCAGCAGUCAAUCUGCUCAAUUUACUAAUUCGUGGAAAAGAAUUGAUGUAUUUCACCAUUGAUUCAACAUUCUAUGUUUCAUUCACAUUUAUGUUAUAUCUUACAUUACGGAUUGGGGGAAAGAUGCCAAGGGAAGUGUAUGCAGUAGCCAUCGUUGGUCCUUUUCCAAUUGCUGUAACUAAUUUAUUGGAUUUAACAAAUGGGUAGCUUAGGAUACUGAGUUUCCAUUGAUUGCAACUGCAAAAGCUUUACAAAUUUUCAAGAAGAGGAGCCAAUGGUUGCAUGUUAUUCAAGUAUAUUCAGUCUAUUGGUAUUCUUGCUUUGUAUUUUCCAGCUUCUAAAAUACAUUCAGUCAUUGAUGCAGGGAAGCUUUAUAUGUUUAAUAAUUUUCUAUUAAUAUAUAUUAGAUUAAAAUAGUCUUGUAUUAUCAUAUUUGAUUCUAUAGAAUACUCUCGGUCAAUAUUUUAAAGGAACCUUAAUGCUAUUCUUUGUGAAUAGAUACUUUCAAUCAA
Molecule: RNA transcript, 1227 nt
Organism: Gossypium arboreum
Lineage: Eukaryota; Viridiplantae; Streptophyta; Magnoliopsida; Malvales; Malvaceae
Exons: 5
Source: RefSeq, a predicted model, not a curated record